GCAUUGGUGGUUUAGUGUUCGAAUUCUAGCUUUCUGUGUGGAAGACCUUGGUUCGAUUCCUGGCCGAUGCA
RNAcentral lists this transfer RNA (71 nucleotides) under Loxodonta africana (African savanna elephant). It matches the Rfam family "tRNA". Rfam says of the family: Transfer RNA (tRNA) molecules are approximately 80 nucleotides in length. Their secondary structure includes four short double-helical elements and three loops (D, anti-codon, and T loops). Further hydrogen bonds mediate the characteristic L-shaped molecular structure. tRNAs have two regions of fundamental functional importance: the anti-codon, which is responsible for specific mRNA codon recognition, and the 3' end, to which the tRNAs corresponding amino acid is attached (by aminoacyl-tRNA synthetases). tRNAs cope with the degeneracy of the genetic code in two manners: having more than one tRNA (with a specific anti-codon) for a particular amino acid; and 'wobble' base-pairing, i.e. permitting non-standard base-pairing at the 3rd anti-codon position. The record is from Rfam by way of RNAcentral. Lineage: Eukaryota; Metazoa; Chordata; Mammalia; Proboscidea; Elephantidae.